This 433-nucleotide ribosomal RNA is filed under the name uncultured bacterium. RNAcentral's name for it is "partial 16S ribosomal RNA". It matches the Rfam family "Bacterial small subunit ribosomal RNA", at positions 29 to 507 of the family's 1533-position model. The record is from RNAcentral.
AACGAACGCUGGCGGCAUGCCUAACACAUGCAAGUCGAACGAGACCUUCGGGUCUAGUGGCGCACGGGUGCGUAACGCGUGGGAACCUGCCCUUAGGUUCGGAAUAACUCCCCGAAAGGGGUGCUAAUACCGGAUAAUGUCUUCGGACCAAAGAUUUAUCGCCAUUGGAUGGGCCCGCGUUGGAUUAGCUAGUUGGUAGGGUAAAAGCCUACCAAGGCGACGAUGCAUAGCUGGUCUGAGAGGAUGAUCAGCCACACUGGGACUGAGACACGGCCCAGACUCCUACGGGAGGCAGCAGUGGGGAAUAUUGGACACUGGGCGAAGGCCUGAUCCAGCAAUGCCGCGUAAGUGAUGAAGGCCUUAGGGUUGUAAAGCUCUUUUACCCGGGAUGAUAAUGACAGUACCGGGAGAAUAAGCUCCGGCUAACUCCGUG